AAACCAACAGGGAUUGCCUUAGUAGCGGCGAGUGAAGCGGCAAAAGCUCAAAUUUGAAAUCUGGCACCUUCGGUGUCCGAGUUGUAAUUUGAAGAUUGUAACCUUGGGGUUGGCUCUUGUCUAUGUUUCUUGGAACAGGACGUCACAGAGGGUGAGAAUCCCGUGCGAUGAGAUGCCCAAUCCUAUGUAAGGUGCUUUCGAAGAGUCGAGUUGUUUGGGAAUGCAGCUCUAAGUGGGUGGUAAAUUCCAUCUAAAGCUAAAUAUUGGCGAGAGACCGAUAGCGAACAAGUACUAGUGAUGGAAAGAUGAAAAGAACUUUGAAAAGAGAGUGAAAAAGUACGUGAAAUUGUUGAAAGGGAAGGGUUUGAGAUCAGACUCGAUAUUUUGUGAGCCUUGCCUUCGUGGCGGGGUGACCCGCAGCUUAUCGGGCCAGCAUCGGUUUGGGCGGUAGGAUAAUGGCGUAGGAAUGUGACUUUGCUUCGGUGAAGUGUUAUAGCCUGCGUUGAUGCUGCCUGCCUAGACCGAGGACUGCGA
Molecule: ribosomal RNA, 534 nt
Filed under: Meyerozyma caribbica
Lineage: Eukaryota; Fungi; Ascomycota; Pichiomycetes; Serinales; Debaryomycetaceae
Description: LSU rRNA
Rfam family: Eukaryotic large subunit ribosomal RNA
Source: RNAcentral